RNAcentral lists this unclassified non-coding RNA (277 nucleotides) under Hevea brasiliensis (rubber tree). The record is from RNAcentral. Lineage: Eukaryota; Viridiplantae; Streptophyta; Magnoliopsida; Malpighiales; Euphorbiaceae.
UCGGGGAUGGCCUGUGUUGGCAGCACCUCUGCUAUUGCAGCUGUUGCCAUCUCCUCCCGCUCUCAAAAUGGCCUGGGGGCAACAAAAGCAUCAUCAUUUCUGGGAGGGAAGAAAUUAGUACAAGGUAAGCGGAAGGUUGCAUCCACCGGGCGACGUGCUUUCUCGGUGUCAGCAGCCUCUACUUCACCUUCACCUGCACCAGACAGACCCCUCUGGUUCCCGGGCAGCAUCCCUCCUCCGUGGCUCGACGGCAGCCUUCCAGGAGAUUUUGGUUUUG